Clostridium sp. CAG:264 is the source of this 138-nucleotide non-coding RNA. NCBI's taxonomy places the organism in Bacteria, Bacillati, Bacillota, Clostridia, Eubacteriales, Clostridiaceae. The record is from Rfam.
GUACCUCUCGAUGAACUGCCGAAGACAGUAGGUGCCGGAUGGCAUAAGUUGAAAAACGCCUACCGAGGAAUAUAUCGUUAAUAUUAUUUUAACUAUAUGCUCUCUGUCUUAUCGACAGAGAGCUUUUCUUAUUUUAGC